AAUCCAUAGGUUAAUGAGGCGAACCGGGGGAACUGAAACAUCUAAGUACCCCGAGGAAAAGAAAUCAACCGAGAUUCCCCCAGUAGCGGCGAGCGAACGGGGAGGAGCCCAGAGCCUGAAUCAGCAUGUGUGUUAGUGGAAGCGUCUGGAAAGGCGCGCGAUACAGGGUGACAGCCCCGUACACAAAAGCGCAUGUGCUGUGAGCUCGAUGAGUAGGGCGGGACACGUGGUAUCCUGUCUGAAUAUGGGGGGACCAUCCUCCAAGGCUAAAUACUCCUGACUGACCGAUAGUGAACCAGUACCGUGAGGGAAAGGCGAAAAGAACCCCGGCGAGGGGAGUGAAAAAGAACCUGAAACCGUGUACGUACAAGCAGUGGGAGCACCCUUUGGGGUGUGACUGCGUACCUUUUGUAUAAUGGGUCAGCGACUUAUAUUCUGUAGCAAGGUUAACCGUAUAGGGGAGCCGGAGGGAAACCGAGU
Molecule: ribosomal RNA, 480 nt
Filed under: Salmonella enterica subsp. enterica serovar Oranienburg
Lineage: Bacteria; Pseudomonadati; Pseudomonadota; Gammaproteobacteria; Enterobacterales; Enterobacteriaceae
Also listed under: 2 other names
Description: partial 23S ribosomal RNA
Rfam family: Bacterial large subunit ribosomal RNA
Source: RNAcentral